Herpailurus yagouaroundi (jaguarundi) is the source of this 1832-nucleotide long non-coding RNA. RefSeq lists it as uncharacterized. The record is from RefSeq and is a predicted model, not a curated record. The transcript is spliced from 2 exons. NCBI's taxonomy places the organism in Eukaryota, Metazoa, Chordata, Mammalia, Carnivora, Felidae.
AUUGGACAGAUAUGGAAAUUGAGGCUCAGAGAUGUGAAGUAACCUGCCCAGGGUCAAAGGGCUUCCGUGAGAACCCAAGUUGUUCUGAUCCCAAAGCCCAUGUUAUUAGUCCCUCACCCUCUCACCCCUUCCUUACCUUGAGCCUGGGGACAGCUUGUGCAAGGGUAAGAACAGGACGUUUGGAGCCACACUGACCUGACCUGGGUUCUAUUCCAGCCUUGCCGAUGACUCCUUGUAGCCUGGGUGGUCACCUCACCUCUUUCAACCUCUGUUCCCUUACCUGGUGAAUGGGCACCUCAUUGACCAUCAAGUAGGAUCAUAGUGGGGUGUGGACCGCUAUGCCCAGGUAGGGCCCAGCAUACAGUGAGUAAAUGGCGGCUCAUGGUCUCCCCCCGCUCCCACCACUUAGGACCAUGCUUCCAAAGUUGAGAAGUAUCAACUGAGCCUCUGGAGUUGUCUUCUCAGGUCAGGAAAUUGGGACUAGUCAAUGAGAGGUCAGAGGAGGAGGUCCCUGUGGCAGAGCAUACCUUCCAAAACAUGUGGCCUCAGGAAGAUUUCCAGUUCUACAUACUGGAGCCUUGUCAUUCUCCACCAAGAGAUGUGGGUUAUUGCCCCUCUUCUCACUGGGCAGAACUUUGUGACUGCCUCAGUGAACAGAAUAGAGCAAAAGUGAUACUACAUUAACUUCCCAGGCUAAAUCUUAAAAUGUGAUAAGGCUUCUAUCUGUCUGUCUCUGUCUCUUUCUGGAAUCCACCAGCCAUAUUGUGAGGAAGCCCAAGCCACCCGGAGAGGCCACUGUAGGUGCUCUGGGCCAACAGCCUCCAUUAAGGUCUCCACCUUAGGCCAGCUUCAGUGCUCAACAUGUGCACAAACGACUCUCCAAAUGAUUCCUGCUCCUGACUGCAACCAUCUCAGCACUGGACGCCAUCACAUGGACCCCCCUGGCCACAGCCCUCUCAGGAGGGUAGACCGGGAAGAGCUGUUACUAUACAGAUGCAGAAACUGGGGCUCUGAGAGAGAGGAAGGAAGAGGAAAGAAGAGGAAAAAGUAGCCCAAAGCCCCACAGCAGUCACAGAGCUGGGACAUAAACCUUGGCUCUGCCACAAAGCCCAUCAUCCGCAGAGACUUCUGACUCGGAUGAUUCCCACACUUCCUCCAGAAUGCACAUCCUAUCCUAGGGUCCCCCAGGCAGACGGAAGAUGUCAGGAGGAGGGAAGUGCAGGAUAGCCUGAGCCUGAUGAACUACAUGCCAUAAUGCCAUCAUCUGCACCAUUGUGGGAGCUGCAUUCCUCUGUCUCUAUGUGGACCUGAGGUCGUGCCAUAGUCCCCAAGACCCUGGGCAACCCAGCCCAGCUGGCCCUCCGGCCUUUUCUCCUCCCUCUUCCCCCUCUGCCCUAUGAGCUCCUGUCACUUGGUCUUUCUUGCUUUCUUCAACAUACCAGGCUUCCAGCCACAGGGCCUUUGCACGUACAGUCCCCUUACUUUAGAAGACGUGCCCCAAGCCCCAGCCCCUUCCAUGUCCACAGUUAAUGCCUCUUCAACCUUCCUUCUUUUUAAAAUAACAGCUUUAUUGACAUAUAAUUCAUAUGUCAUAUAGUUGACCUAUUUAAAACAUGUGAUUCAAUGGUUUUUAGUAUGUCCACAGAUCUGGGUAAUCAUCACCACGAUCAGUUCUAGGACAUUUGCAUCAUCGUCUAAAACCCUGUACUCAUUUACCAGUCACUGCCCCCCAACUCCCCCACACGCACCAUUUGGCAACCCCUAAUCUACUUUCUGCGUCUGUAGAUUUGCCUCUUCUGGACGUUUCCUAUAAAUGGAGUCUUACAUUUUGG